Molecule: long non-coding RNA, 2110 nt
Organism: Ictalurus punctatus (channel catfish)
Lineage: Eukaryota; Metazoa; Chordata; Actinopteri; Siluriformes; Ictaluridae
Source: Ensembl
GGCAAAUUACCUUCCUCCUCCCAUCAGCUCCCCGCUUCCCCAAAAAGAGCUCCUCAUCCAAACAUCACACUACUUACUUACUUACUUACUCUCACUCACUCACUCACUCACUCUCACUCACUCACUCACUCACUCACUCACUCACUCACUCACUCACUCACUCACUCUCACUCACUCACUCACUCACUCUCUCUCUCUCUCUCUCUCUCUCUCUCUCUCUCUCUCUCUCUCUCUCUCUCUCUCUCUCUCUCUCUCUCUCUCUCUCUCUCACACAGCCACUGUCUGUCCAGAAUUAAGAAGCACUUUUCAGAGGUGACAGUGACACUGCUGCUACAUUGACACGUCUUCAAAUCACAGCGCCCGCUUGGCACAAAAUGCUGAAUUAAACCAAUAAGAUACAAUGCAGCAACCAUUAUUUCAACAAAUCGAUAUCUUGUCAAAAUUCAACACUUCCUUUUAGUCUUCUCUGCACCAGAUUGAUAGUGCCGUCUCUUCAUUUUCAAACAUUAACGCACACAACUGACACAAGCAAUUAAAUUUAUCAAAGUUAUUGUUACCAAACGUUACUGUCUGAACCCAUGGCAUGAGGCCCUCUGGUGGCCAUGUGGCCCGAUGUAUCCACUUAUGUCGGUUAUUAGGUAGGGCUGGCCCUGGGUGUUACCAUAGGGUUCUUUGUGAUCUCCCAUGAUAUUUUUCCCAGUGCCCCUGGAGUGAUUUUCAUUGAACAACCACUUUUUGGGAGAGUAACAGCAGUGCUGACUUCCCUCCAUCUGCCUCAACUUUAAAGAACUUUCAAAUUUAUACUUAAAAUCAAAUAACAUGCUGUAAGACUACAAAAUAUUUAACUUUUCAAGAUGAAUGAGAGAAAAAUAUUAGCAGAUUGUUCAACUUAAUUUUCCAUAGUAAUGAGCAACUUAGGACUGUUUCCAUUAGGAAAAAAAUAUUUGGCUUCUGUUUAUUAACAUGUCUCAGUAAAAAACAAAAAGCAUUAACAAGCAAGGGUCUAUGGGAUGAACUGUGAAGAUGCAGCAUUCAGAUAAAACCUGAGGUGUGAGAUGUAGGGCAGACACUGAAGGAAACUCCUCACUUCACUCUCUUCAUCUGAGCAGUGUCUCAGCACCACUGGUUUCUUCUCUGUUUGGAGUUUCAGCACUUCUAGGAGGAGGGAGACUUUUCUCUCUGAGAGCUUUAUGUACCAGACUGCAGGAACUGACUGGUAAACUGGCAGCAAUGCUGGAAGGACUCUCCUGCCUGUUUCACUCUCAUACUGCUUCACACGUGAGUACAGAUCCAGCAGGAAAUCACUCAGUAUGUCAUAAUAAUAAUAAUAGUCUCCAUAUUCAGUGAAUGUGAUCACUUUCUGCACUGUCUGCAGGAUGUUAUGUGGUUGGUGUAGAGCUGCUUGCAGACACAAAUCCAGUAGAAAUGUUCUACAUCUCUUUUCUUGUUCCAUCUCUCCCUGUAUAUAGUAAAACCUGGAGAAAAGUGAAAGACUCACAUUAUUACAGUACACAAUAUAGAGAACAUCAGACACACACACACACACACACACACACACACUUUCUCCUGGACUCAUGUAUUUGAUAAAAAUUUUUUUAUAUAUAUUUACAUUUAUGGCAUUUGACAGAUGUGCACAGAGACGCACAGAAGUGUUCUGUAGUCUCUGUCUUAAAGCCUCUGAAAUGUUAGAAACUGUAACUGUGACGAGUCACUAAAGUAUAUUUUCUCGUUGAGUAAAAAUAUUAAGGAGCUGUUACGAGAACACAGAGGGUGUCUUAGGGACACUAAAAGAAAGCCUACAGUACUUGGCUAGUAGUAAUGUUUAUGCUCCAUCAUGUGUUUUCUUCCUGAUAUUGAAGGAAACACAGAUAUUUACUCAAUGAUAGACAAUCAUCUCUGUAUCAUUACUGCAUAAAUAUCAUAUAUUGUGAGCAGGGCCGUUAUCUGGACUGGUCAUCAUCCGGGGUUGAGCCCAGAGUCCUAAUAGACUUCUGAAUAGACUGUUUGCAUCCAUUUCAGGACACAGAACUUACUCAUAGGGGUGUAACGAUGCAUCGUGAUGCGAAAAUGUGACGAUGUGUAUCGCUGAAAUGUUCAAAUCACAUCAUGG